GUAGAGAGUAAGAAACGAAUAGGGAGAAGGAGGAAAAGUUGAGAGAUCUUUUAUUCAGUCUCAUAGGCCUCCAUUAUAUAGAGGUAGGGUUUACACGAUAAGUACUCAGACUAUUGAGAUAUUACAUGUAAGUCCCUAACUAAUAACGUGGACAGCCACAUAAGAUAUAAUAUUUACAACACUCCCCCUUGGAUGUCCACCCAUUGAUGAUGGUGUUGGACGCGCUUAAUGUUGCCUCAUUAAAAACCUUGCCAGGUAACAAUAAAACCCAGUGGGCCGGGAUAAAAAUAACCCUGGUCGAAGGACAAAAAGAGCACAACGCGCAUAUAUCCUAGGUAACAUGUUCCUUGUUGCUAUCCUUGGUUGGAGUCUCCCCCUGAUCCUUGCAAGCUUUGCUUAACAACUUUGAGAGUUGUCUCAAACCAAUCUUUUCCACUAACUUCUUGAACGUACACUUAGGCAGAGAUUUGGUGAACAAAUCAGCUAAGUUCUCAUCAGAUCGAAUUUGCUUAACCACGAUCUCUUGAUUCUUUUGUAGUUCAUGAGUAUGGAAGAAUUUAGGAGCGAUAUGCUUAGUCUUGUCACCUUUGAUAAAUCCCUCUUUAAUCUGAGCAAUACAUGCAACAUUGUCUUCAUACAUAACUGUUGGAUUGUCAGUAACUGAAGACAAACCACUGGUGCUCCGAAUGUGAUGAAUCAUGGAUCUUAGUCAGAAACAUUCUUUGCCAGCUUCAUACAAUGCAAUUAUUUCUGAGUGGUUAGAGGAAGUCGCUACAAGUGUUUGCUUGGAAGACCGCCAUGAAACUGCGGUGUCUCCACAAGUAAAAAUAUAUCCUGUUUGGGAACGACCUCUAUGUGGAUCAGAGAGAUAUCCUGCAUCGGCAUAUCCAACAAUCGUGGGACUAUCAACCGAUUUAUUUGUGUAAAACAAUCCCAUAUCCACAGUACCACGAAGAUAGCGUAAAAUGUCUUUUACUCCUUUCCAAUGACGUGAUGUGGGAGCAGAGCUAUAUCUUGCCAACACACUAACUGCAAAAGAAAUAUCUGGCCUUGUACAUUGUGCUAAGUAGAGUAAGGCACCAAUGACACUAAGAUAUGGUACUUCUGGCAAGGAUAAUUUCGUCAUCUUGUCUGGGACGAAAUGGAUCUUUCAUAGGGUCAAGGCUCCGAACGACCAUUGGGGUACUCAGUGAGUGAGCUGUACCCAUACCAAAUCUCUUUAGAAUCUUCUUAGUAUAAGCAAAUUGAUGGACAAGUAUCCCACUAUCCAAAUGCUCAAUCUGCAGCCCGAGGCAAUAUUUUGUUUUUCCAAGGUCUUUCAUUUCAAAUUCUUUCUUUAAGUAUUCAGCAGUUUUUUCAAGUUCCUCAGAACAUCCAAUCAGAUUCAUGUCAUCGACAUAAACUGCAACUAUUGCAAACCCAGAAUUUGACUUUUUAAUGAACACACAGGGACAAAUUGGAUCAUUGACAUAUCCUUCUCUAAGUAGAUACUCACUGAGACGGUUGUACCACAUACGUUCGGAUUGUUUCAAUCCAUACAAGGAUCGUCUCAAUUUAAUUGAAUACAUGUUGUGAGGCUUUAUGGUUGCUUCAGGCAACCUAAAUCCUUCUGGAACUUUCAUGUAGAUAUCAGUAUCUAACUCACCGUAUAGGUAUGCAGUAACAACGUCCAUAAGUCGCAUAUCAAGUUUUUCAGAAACUACUAAACUUAUUAGAUAGCGAAAUGUGAUAACAUCCAUUACGGGAGAAUAUGUUUCCUCAUAAUCUAUCCCAGGUCGUUGUGAAAAACCUUGUGCAACAAGUCGUGCUUUAUAUCUUGCAAUCUCAUUUUUCUCGUUACGCUUUCUUACAACAAUCGUUUAUAUCCGACAAGUUUAACGUUGGGUGGUGUUUGGACAACAGGUCCAAAUACACUGCGUUUUUCAAGAGAAUUCAAUUAAGUUUGGAUUGCAUCUUUCCAUUUGGGCCAAUCAUGUCUCUGUUUACAUUCAUUAAUAGAGCGAGGUUCAGUGUCAUCACCUUUUAUUAUUUCAGUCGCUACAGCGAAUGAGAACACAUCGUCUACAGUCAUGUCUCUACGAUCCCACAACUCAUUGGUGUAAACAUAAUUUACAGAAAUUUCCUUAUUUUCAGGUACAACCUCUUCAUAGGCUUGUGUACCAACAUCAUUUUCCUCUUCUGUAAUUACAGGAUCAUGAGUUGUAGGUUGGGCAUUGUUGGUUUGCCCAAUAUUCUCUUCAGGGAUGAUUUCAUCAAGAUUCUGAUUUAUCUUUGAUCUCCUCUUUCUUGGAACCAAAUCCUUUGAACCUGAAGGCCUGCCACGCUUCCGGCAUGCAGCAGGUGGUUCAUUUGCUGCCAUAUUAUUUCCGAUCUGGACAUUAAUUCUUGCAGGUGCAUUCAUUGCCGGAAUAUGCGAUCUUGUCACUCUUGCUGUGUUAUUGAAUGCAUCAGGCAUUUUGUCAGCAAUAUUUUGAAGAUGCAAAAUCCUUCGUACUUCUAUUUCACUUUCUUUGGUAUGAGGAUCAAGAUGAGAUAUUGUGGGUACAGUCCACAUUAAUUCACGACGUUCAUUUGGAACAGUCUUAUCUCCCCCUAACGGCGGGAAUGUUGUCUCAUCAAAUUGGCAAUCUGCAAACCGUGCAGUGAAUGUAUCACCCGUCAUGGGUUCUAAAUAUCUAAUAAUGGAUGGCGAAUCAAAACCAAUAUAGAUGCCCAAUCGACGUUGGGGGCCCAUUUUUGUACGUUGUGGCGGUGCAAUAGGCACAUAAACAAUACACCCAAAUGUUCGAAGAUGAGAAAUAUUGGGUUGGCUCCCAGAUACAAGUUGCAAUGGGGAAUACUGAUGGUUGGCUAUGGGUCUCAACCGAACUAAAGCUGAUGCAUGCAAAAUUGCAUGUCCCCAUGCAGAAACUGGCAUCUUUGUUCGCAUUAGCAAAGUGCGCGCUAUUAUUUGAAGUCGCUUAAUAAAAGCUUCUGCCAAACCAUUCUAUGUAUGAACAUGAGGAACUGAAUGUUCAAUUUCGAUCCUCAAAGACAAGCAGUAAUCAUUGAAAGUUUGAGAUGUAAAUUCACCAGCAUUGUCUAGACGAAUAGACUUGAUAGAGUAAUCUGGGAAUUGAGCUCGUAAUUUAAUUAGCUGAGCAAGUAGCUUGGCAAAUGCUACAUUACGAGUAGACAAGAGGCAAACAUGUGACCAUCUUGUAGAAGCAUCAACUAAGACCAUAAAAUAUCGAAAUGGUCCACAAGAAGGGUCAAUAGGCCCACAAAUGUCCCCUUGAAUUCUUUGCAGGAAAGAUGGGGAUUCGAUAUCUACCUUUGCAUAUGAUGGUUUAACCACCAAUUUCCCUUGUGCACAAGCUUUGCAAGGGUUGCUUGGCAAAACAAUGUGUUUAGUCAUCAAUGGAUGUCCAUGUGAAUUAGUAAUGAUCCUACGCAUUAUGGUGGAUCCUGGGUGACCCAAACGAUCAUGCCAGAGCAUAAAGAUAUGUUGAUUUUUGAACUGCUGGUUCACAACAUGAUAUGCCUCAAUGGGUUUGAUGGUUGUGUGAUACAAACCAGAUGAUAGGGCAACUAAUUUUUCCAAUAUCUGCUUCUGGCAGUUGUCAUUGGAUGUAAUGCAAAGGUAUUCCAUAUCAUUGUCAUUUGUGGUCUCCAUGUGGUAUCCGUUUAAACGGAUAUCUCUAAAACUGAGGAGAUUUCUUCUGGAUCUCGAAGAGUACAAAGCCUCUUGAAUUGACAAUUGGGUUCCAUUUGGUAGUCUAAUGUGAGCUCUACCAGAACCCAAACUCAAUUACUACUUUGUUCUGCUAUGUGUGCGAUAAAUACAUAACAUCGUAUAUUUGUAUAUGGAAAUUUUUGUUUCUGAAUUCUCUUUCUCUGCUCUCACACAUAGUUUAUUGGUUAUAAAGUAGCAUCUACCUGAUUACAUUUUUUUAUGGAAAUUUCAUGUAUUUAUCAUGCUAAUUAACUGUACGUUACUAUCUCUAUGAAGGCAUGAAAACGAAUUUUGGAUGCCCUCAACGUACGAAGGAUGGAGAUGAUGUGUGUCUUGCUGACAGUGCUACUACACAUACGAUCCUUCGCGAUCGGGCUUAUUUCUCCACUUUGAUACCUUCCAAAGCAAAUGUAACUACUAUAUCUGGUCCUGCAGACCUGAUUGAAGGUUCUGGUAGAGCUCACAUUAGACUACCAAAUGGAACCCAAUUGUCAAUUCAAGAGGCUUUGUACUCUUCGAGAUCCAGAAGAAAUCUCCUCAGUUUUAGAGAUAUCCGUUUAAACGGAUACCACAUGGAGACCACAAAUGACAAUGAUAUGGAAUACCUUUGCAUUACAUCCAAUGACAACUGCCAGAAGCAGAUAUUGGAAAAAUUAGUUGCCCUAUCAUCUGGUUUGUAUCACACAACCAUCAAACCCAUUGAGGCAUAUCAUGUUGUGAACCAGCAGUUCAAAAAUCAACAUAUCUUUAUGCUCUGGCAUGAUCGUUUGGAGGCUGGGUUUUCGGCCUUUAUUGUAGCCCCAAGGUUAUGUGCUUCGAGAUGGAUCUCGGCAUCAAGAGCCCAAGACAGGUAGUUCUUCCCAGAGAUGUCAAGGGCCUCAAAAUCCAAUUUUGCCAAAUUGGUCAUCUUCCUACACACAAUGGAGAAGGGAUACAUUAGGACCCAUAUAUCUGUUAGAACUACAUGUUCUUAACAAAUAAUAGAUGUCGAACUUCGGGUUCGAAAAAGAAGUAUAUUAAACAUUGGAUUGUAAAUAUGUGCAUGAAGCUUCGGGUUCAUGUUCUUAUGAUUAGGAACUUUCAGUUCUAGGAGUAUGUAUUUCUAUGAACUUCAGGUUCAAGAAGGAAUAUACACUUGAAACUUCUGGUUUAGAGUGAUGAUAGUGAAGCUUCAGGUUCACUUGUAUUGAUAUAUAUAGACAUAUAUUAGAUCAUAUGAUGAGCAAACAAAAUUGUAUGUUUAUAUGCAUAACAUUGACUAGAUACAAGAAAUCAUAUAUAAUUAAUAUGGACAUCUUUGUUGUUUGUGGUUAGGAACAAAUAUUAAAAGAAAUACCAUAGGUAUAGAAGAGAAAGCAUACGGAACAUGAUCAACUUUGGGGUCAAUCGGCAGGAAAAAAAAAUAUAAACUGAUACAACAUACAAAAGUACAAAGAAGGUAAAUUGAAAUAUAAAGCUCAUAGAUCUUGAGUUAUGGCUUAGAAGCAACAAAGUUGCACCAUAAGAACUCGUUGAUCAUCAUGGAGCGUGCUGAUAACGUGAUGUAAAAUAAGAACUUAGUUUGUAGAGAGUAAGAAACGAAUAGGGAGAAGGAGGAAAAGUUGAGAGAUCUUUUAUUCAGUCUCAUAGGCCUCCAUUAUAUAGAGGUAGGGUUUACACGAUAAGUACUCAGACUAUUGAGAUAUUACAUGUAAGUCCCUAACUAAUAACGUGAACAGCCACAUAAGAUAUAAUAUUUACAACAAGGGUAAGAUUUUAUAUUCAUUUUUCUUUUUUGUAAUUUAACAUCAACCUAAUUGGAUGCUUUUAAUUAUUUUUGAUUGUUUUUAACUAAUAUGAUCACACAAAGAGAAAAGAAAAUUUUGGGCCCCUUAAGGCUCCGGACCUUGAGUCCAUCGACUCUUAGAACUCUAUUUAGAUACGGGUCUGAUGUAAAUACACAAAUACACAAGUCUUGUUAGGGUUUUAGCUUCUCCAUCAGGGUGCUUCAUACAUACUGGUUAAGUAUCUGCUUCAAAAAGAUUUAUGCGAAUCUACAAAAUUGAAAUCGUUGAAGAACAAAAUGUUUGAUCAAGUGAAAUAAGAGCGGCAAUGAAGGGCUCUGGGACCAUUUCAUAAUUUCGAUACAUAACGACUCCAAUCUUUUCAAUAUCGAUAAGCCAUAACAAGGAGGACUCUGAAUAUCUUGAUGUCUGUAUUUUCAUAGUAACCUAGCUAACAAUUCCGAUAUCUUAAUG
Molecule: long non-coding RNA, 5952 nt
Filed under: Fragaria vesca (wild strawberry)
Lineage: Eukaryota; Viridiplantae; Streptophyta; Magnoliopsida; Rosales; Rosaceae
Description: long non-coding RNA (FVES_LNC003354)
Source: RNAcentral